CUGCAAAUCUUUUCACUGACUUCACCAAGUCAUGUAAAGGAUUAAACACAAGCUGGUCUAAAGAUACCUAAAUCAAUCACACUAAUUCACCUUAAUGGCAUGGGUCUGCACGAAUCGACUAGUAACCUAAUCAAAACAUAAUCUACCAUGUUGGUCAGGUAAGUGAGAUCAAUGGGAGGGAUCUACUCUAAACUCAUCGUAGAUGCAUCUAGGUGAAUAGCUCCCAAUU
Molecule: long non-coding RNA, 229 nt
Filed under: Elaeis guineensis (African oil palm)
Lineage: Eukaryota; Viridiplantae; Streptophyta; Magnoliopsida; Arecales; Arecaceae
Description: long non-coding RNA (EGUI_LNC077147)
Source: RNAcentral